Molecule: ribosomal RNA, 274 nt
Filed under: uncultured bacterium
Lineage: Bacteria
Description: partial 16S ribosomal RNA
Rfam family: Bacterial small subunit ribosomal RNA
Source: RNAcentral
AUACGGAGGGUGCAAGCGUUAAUCGGAAUUACUGGGCGUAAAGCGCGCGUAGGCGGUUUAGUAAGUCGGAUGUGAAAGCCCCGGGCUCAACCUGGGAAUGGCAUUCGAUACUGCCUGACUAGAGUAUGGUAGAGGGAAGUGGAAUUUCCGGUGUAGCGGUGAAAUGCGUAGAUAUCGGAAGGAACACCAGUGGCGAAGGCGACUUCCUGGGCCAAUACUGACGCUAAGGUGCGAAAGCGUGGGGAGCAAACAGGAUUAGAUACCCCAGUAGUCC